AACCAUAGAAACCUGCGGAGUACCUGCGGAAGGAUCAUUAUCGAGUUGCAAAACUCCAACCCUUUGUGAACAUACCUCAGUCGUUGCUUCGGCGGUGGACGGCCUGUUUUUCGGAACGGCCGGAAGCCGCCGGAGGUUCCAAACUCGUAUUUUUUAGUGUAUCUCUGAGCCUGAAAACAAAUAAUCAAAACUUUUAGCAAUGGAUCU
Molecule: unclassified non-coding RNA, 207 nt
Filed under: soil metagenome
Description: partial contains 5.8S ribosomal RNA, internal transcribed spacer 2, and large subunit ribosomal RNA
Source: RNAcentral